GACGAACGCUGGCGGCGUGCCUAAUACAUGCAAGUUGAGCGCUGAAGGUUGGUACUUGUACCAACUGGAUGAGCAGCGAACGGGUGAGUAACGCGUGGGGAAUCUGCCUUUGAGCAGGGGACAACAUUCGGAAACGAAUGCUAAUACCGCAUAAAAACUUUAAACACAAGUUUUAAGUUUGAAAGAUGCAAUUGCAUCACUCAAAGAUGAUCCCGCGUUGUAUUAGCUAGUUGGUGAGGUAAAGGCUCACCAAGGCGAUGAUACAUAGCCGACCUGAGAGGGUGAUCGGCCACAUUGGGACUGAGACACGGCCCAAACUCCUACGGGAGGCAGCAGUAGGGAAUCUUCGGCAAUGGACGAAAGUCUGACCGAGCAACGCCGCGUGAGUGAAGAAGGUUUUCGGAUCGUAAAACUCUGUUGGUAGAGAAGAACGUUGGUGAGAGUGGAAAGCUCACAAAGUGACGGUAACUACCCAGAAAGGGACGGCUAACUACGUG
This 497-nucleotide ribosomal RNA is filed under the name uncultured bacterium. RNAcentral's name for it is "partial 16S ribosomal RNA". It matches the Rfam family "Bacterial small subunit ribosomal RNA", at positions 28 to 507 of the family's 1533-position model. The record is from RNAcentral.